AACGCGAAGAACCUUACCAGCUUUUGACAUGUCCCGUAUGAGAAACAGAAAUGUAUCUCUUCACUUCGGGUGGCGGGAACACAGGUGCUGCAUGGCUGUCGUCAGCUCGUGUCGUGAGAUGUUGGGUUAAGUCCCGCAACGAGCGCAACCCUCGCCCUUAGUUGCCAUCAUUCAGUUGGGCACUCUAAGGGGACUGCCGGUGAUAAGCCGCGAGGAAGGUGGGGAUGACGUCAAGUCCUCAUGGCCCUUACAGGCUGGGCUACACACGUGCUACAAUGGCGGUGACAAUGGGAUGCAAUGGCGCGAGCCUGCGCAAAUCUCAAAAAGCCGUCUCAGUUCGGAUUGCACUCUGCAACUCGAGUGCAUGAAGUUGGAAUCGCUAGUAAUCGCGGAUCAGCACGCCGCGGUGAAUACGUUCCCGGGCCUUGUA
RNAcentral lists this ribosomal RNA (430 nucleotides) under uncultured Alphaproteobacteria bacterium. Its description in RNAcentral is "bacterial SSU rRNA". It matches the Rfam family "Bacterial small subunit ribosomal RNA", at positions 958 to 1385 of the family's 1533-position model. The record is from RNAcentral. Lineage: Bacteria; Pseudomonadati; Pseudomonadota; Alphaproteobacteria.